This 78-nucleotide transfer RNA is filed under the name Candidatus Bathyarchaeota archaeon. Its description in RNAcentral is "tRNA-Thr". It matches the Rfam family "tRNA". From Rfam's summary of the family: Transfer RNA (tRNA) molecules are approximately 80 nucleotides in length. Their secondary structure includes four short double-helical elements and three loops (D, anti-codon, and T loops). Lineage: Archaea; Thermoproteati; Candidatus Bathyarchaeota. The record is from RNAcentral.
GCCCCGGUAGCUAAGCUCGGUCAUAGCAGCGGCCUCGUAAGCCGCAGGCCGCGGGUUCAAAUCCCGCCCGGGGCUCCA